RNAcentral lists this ribosomal RNA (495 nucleotides) under uncultured bacterium. RNAcentral describes it as "partial 16S ribosomal RNA". It matches the Rfam family "Bacterial small subunit ribosomal RNA", at positions 28 to 507 of the family's 1533-position model. The record is from RNAcentral.
GACGAACGCUGGCGGCGUGCCUAAUACAUGCAAGUAGAACGCUGAAGGAGGAGCUUGCUUCUCUGGAUGAGUUGCGAACGGGUGAGUAACGCGUAGGUAACCUGCCUGGUAGCGGGGGAUAACUAUUGGAAACGAUAGCUAAUACCGCAUAAUAGUAGAUGUUGCAUGACAUUUUCUUAAAAGGUGCAAUUGCAUCACUACCAGAUGGACCUGCGUUGUAUUAGCUAGUUGGUGGGGUAACGGCUCACCAAGGCGACGAUACAUAGCCGACCUGAGAGGGUGAUCGGCCACACUGGGACUGAGACACGGCCCAGACGCCUACGGGAGGCAGCAGUAGGGAAUCUUCGGCAAUGGACGGAAGUCUGACCGAGCAACGCCGAGUGAGUGAAGAAGGGUGUCGGAUCGUAAAGCUCUGUUGUAAGAGAAGAACGAGUGUGAGAGUGGAAAGUUCACACUGUGACGGUAUCUUACCAGAAAGGGACGGCUAACUACGUG